RNAcentral lists this unclassified non-coding RNA (233 nucleotides) under Funneliformis mosseae. RNAcentral describes it as "partial contains 5.8S ribosomal RNA and internal transcribed spacer 2". The stretch from base 1 to 71 matches the Rfam family "5.8S ribosomal RNA", at positions 84 to 154 of the family's 154-position model. Lineage: Eukaryota; Fungi; Glomeromycota; Glomeromycetes; Glomerales; Glomeraceae. The record is from RNAcentral.
GUGAAUCAUCAAAUUUUUGAACGCAAAUUGCACUCCCUGGUAUUCCGGGGAGUAUGCCUGCUUGAGGGUCGUUAGAAGAAAAAUCGAAGCAUCGCCUUUUUUUUGAGGGUGAUCGUGUCGGAAUUGAGCCGUUUUUCACAUGUUAAUUCAUGUCAAAGUGGCUUAAAAUUCAUCCAUCCGGUACGUUUAAAGCGUAUUUAAGAUCAAUUUUGAUUAAGAACGCUCGAUGCCGU